UAUAGAAAAAGGAGGAGGAAAAAAAGGGAGCUUGACUACGAACGAACGCGAUGCGAAGUGUGUGAAGUUCAUGCAAAGCAGUAUGUAGCGAGUUGGUGUUUUGGACUGCCCACUCGACAGUCUUACCACAGAAUACCAUCCUGCGUACUUUUGUGAGAAGUUAGACAUUUCUUCCCGAAAUGUAUCGUAGCUCGUUUGCACACAGUGUGUUGUGUUAGCAUUCAUUAGCAAAGUGAAUGGACUCUUAGCCAGUAUAGCUAACUCAGCUGUAUACUAUUGCACUAGUUCACGGGUUAUCUGAAAGUUACAACUGCGAAGUCAAAGCUCUGAGUUCUUUAGAAAGAGGGACACCGACCACGCCAGUUUGGACGCAUGCUCGCACCCUUGUUCGACACCAGAGACCGAGAGACGACAGCGGCAGAGCGCGGGACACACCACGCCAUCUUUGGACACCUGCUUGCCCUUGUUUUGCUGGAGACCGGGAAAGACUGUGAACUCUGCACCGUGGAUUGAACUGUUGCCUAAGGCUGGAGUCACCAUGCCCUGUGAUGACUCGCCUGCCCACUCCCACAACUUUCUAUUAAAGGAAAAUCUGUGAGGAAGGCCAACCAACUAGCAGUAAAUGGAGCAGUGCAUCCGUGAGCACUAGGACUUUCAACACCAUCCGGCCGGCCCUGCUGGGUGAGAAGCUGGCAGCGAUCCAGGUGGAUGCCCCCCUCGUGUCCUGGAUUGUUGACUACCUGACUGUCAGACCACAGCAUGUGCGCCUGCAACACUGUGUGUCAGACAGCGUGGUCAGUAACACCGGGGCCCCGCAGGGGACGUCCUCUCUCCCUUCCUCUUCACCACAGACUUCAGCUACCACACAGUCCUACCAUCUUCAGAAGUUUUCUGAUGACUCUGCUGUGGUUGGAUGUAUCAGCAGGGUGACGAGGCUGAGUACAAAGCUGUGGUGGGGGACAUGGUGUGAGCAGAAACAUCUGUAGCUCAACGUGACAAAGACUAAGGAGCUGGUUGUGGAUCUAAGGAGAGCCAAGGCACCAGUGAGCCCUGUUUCCAUCCAGGGGGUCAGUGUGGACAUUGUGGAGGAUUACAAAUACC
Micropterus dolomieu (smallmouth bass) is the source of this 1101-nucleotide long non-coding RNA. RefSeq lists it as uncharacterized. The record is from RefSeq and is a predicted model, not a curated record. NCBI's taxonomy places the organism in Eukaryota, Metazoa, Chordata, Actinopteri, Centrarchiformes, Centrarchidae. The transcript has 3 exons.